This 640-nucleotide ribosomal RNA is filed under the name uncultured archaeon. RNAcentral's name for it is "bacterial SSU rRNA". It matches the Rfam family "Archaeal small subunit ribosomal RNA", at positions 21 to 637 of the family's 1478-position model. The record is from RNAcentral.
CCUCACUGCUAUCGGGGUGGGACUAAAACAUGCAAGUCGAGCGCCUCCAAGCUAUGGUGAAGGCGCGGCAUACGGCUCAGUAACACGUGGCCAACCUACCCUUGGGACGGAGACAACCCCGGGAAACUGGGACUAAUCCCCGAUAGGUAAGGAAUCCUGGAAUGGAUCUUUGCUGAAAAGGCGUCUAGACCAUGCUUCUUGACGUCGCCCAAGGAUGGAGCCGCGACCGAUCAGGUAGUUGGCGAGGCAACGGCUCACCAAGCCUAUAACCGGUACGGGCCGUGAGAGCGGGAGCCCGGAGAUGGGCACUGAGACAAGGGCCCAGGCCCUACGGGGCGCAGCAGUUGCGAAAACUCCACAAUGCACGAAAGUGCGAUGGGGCUACCCCGAGUGCCGUCCGCUGAGGACGGCUUUUCCACGGUGUAAGGAGUCGUGGGAAUAAGGAGAGGGCAAGACUGGUGUCAGCCGCCGCGGUAAUACCAGCUCUCCGAGUGGUGAGGACGAUUAUUGGGCUUAAAGCGUUCGUAGCCGGCUUAACAAGUCUUCCGUUAAAUCCAACGAUCUAAUCGUUGGGCCGCGNAAGAUACUGUUGGGCUAGGAGGCGGGAGAAGCCGACGGUAUUCUCGGGGUAGGGGUGAAA